This 468-nucleotide ribosomal RNA is filed under the name uncultured bacterium. RNAcentral describes it as "partial 16S ribosomal RNA". It matches the Rfam family "Bacterial small subunit ribosomal RNA", at positions 330 to 794 of the family's 1533-position model. The record is from RNAcentral.
UCCAGACUCCUACGGGAGGCAGCAGUGAGGAAUAUUGGUCAAUGGGCGGAAGCCUGAACCAGCCAAGUCGCGUGAGGGAAUAAGGCCCUACGGGUCGUAAACCUCUUUUGCCGGGGAGCAAGGGCGGGGACGUGUCCCGGCCCGGAGAGUACCCGGAGAAAAAGCAUCGGCUAACUCCGUGCCAGCAGCCGCGGUAAUACGGAGGAUCCGAGCGUUAUCCGGAUUUAUUGGGUUUAAAGGGAGCGUAGGUGGAUUGUUAAGUCAGUUGUGAAAGUUUGCGGCUCAACCGUAAAAUUGCAGUUGAAACUGGCAGUCUUGAGUACAGUAGAGGUGGGCGGAAUUCGUGGUGUAGCGGUGAAAUGCUUAGAUAUCACGAAGAACUCCGAUUGCGAAGGCAGCAUACCGGCGCCCAACUGACGCUGAAGCACGAAAGCGUGGGUAUCGAACAGGAUUAGAUACCCUGGUAGG